Molecule: unclassified non-coding RNA, 343 nt
Filed under: soil metagenome
Description: partial contains 5.8S ribosomal RNA, internal transcribed spacer 2, and large subunit ribosomal RNA
Rfam family: 5.8S ribosomal RNA (bases 1-120)
Source: RNAcentral
GAUGAAGAACGUAGCGAAAUGCGAUAAGUAAUGUGAAUUGCAGAAUUCAGUGAAUCAUCGAAUCUUUGAACGCACAUUGCGCCCGCCAGUAUUCUGGCGGGCAUGCCUGUUCGAGCGUCAUUUCAACCCUCAGGCCCCGCCUGGCGUUGGGGAUCGGCGCGGCCCUCUCCGGGCUGCCGGCCCCGAAAACUAGUGGCGGUCUCGCUGUAGUCCUCCUCUGCGCAGUAGCAACGCUCGCACUGGAACUCGGCGCGGCCACGCCGUAAAACACCCCACUUCUGAAUGUUGACCUCGAAUCAGGUAGGAAUACCCGCUGAACUUAAGCAUAUCAAUAAGCGGAGGA